ACGAACGCUGGCGGCGUGCUUAACACCUGCAAGUCGAACGGAAAGGCCCUGCUUGCAGGGUGCUCGAGUGGCGAACGGGUGAGUAACACGUGGGUGAUCUGCCCCUUACUUUGGGAUAAGCCUGGGAAACUGGGUCUAAUACUGGAUAGGACCAUGCUGUAGGUGGUGUGGUGGAAAGAUUAGUUUCGGUAAGGGAUGAGCUCGCGGCCUAUCAGCUUGUUGGUGGGGUAAUGGCCUACCAAGGCGUCGACGGGUAGCCGGCCUGAGAGGGUGGACGGCCACAUUGGGACUGAGAUACGGCCCAGACUCCUACGGGAGGCAGCAGUGGGGAAUAUUGCACAAUGGGCGCAAGCCUGAUGCAGCGACGCCGCGGGGGGGAUGACGGCCUUCGGGUUGUAAACUCCUUUCAGCCAUGACGAAGCCCUUGUGGUGACGGUAGUGGUAGAAGAAGCACCGGCUAACUACGUG
RNAcentral lists this ribosomal RNA (468 nucleotides) under uncultured bacterium. RNAcentral describes it as "partial 16S ribosomal RNA". It matches the Rfam family "Bacterial small subunit ribosomal RNA", at positions 29 to 507 of the family's 1533-position model. The record is from RNAcentral.